Molecule: long non-coding RNA, 1056 nt
Filed under: Sinocyclocheilus anshuiensis
Lineage: Eukaryota; Metazoa; Chordata; Actinopteri; Cypriniformes; Cyprinidae
Description: lncRNA (ENSSANG00000028530.1)
Source: RNAcentral
GGGAGGUUCGUCCAGAAGGAGACCUUUAAAUGUGUGGGCCAGACAACUUGCCCUCAUUUCUUUAUUUCUGAUCUAGAGCAGGCCAAGGGACAGAGCUUGAGCUGUUGCGGUGGGUGAAGGUCAUCAGGCUCUCUGGGCUCUGUGGUUGUCUGCUUUUCCAGCUCUGCUGGGGACUUCGCCGCUGUUUUCGGAGAAGGAAAGCACUGACUCCAGGAUCUGUAAGCCUGCUCCACAGUGGGAGAUCGAAGGGAGACGAACACAGGAAGAUGUUCACAGCGGACAGAGAACUUGGGACUGGGAACACUUUUUAUACACACACACAGGAGGAGGGGAUGACGAGACACACCUGGGAGCAAUGAACCAUCAUGGGGAACACCUGGGACAAAUUAAACAUGGGAAAGGAACACCUGGGGAGCAAGACACAGACAAAACAUGGAACAGAGUCUGACAAUAUCAUAAGUAUAACAAUAUUUAUGAGGGACACAAAUGACAGCCAUUUUGUGGAAUGACCCUCCUCGUUUAAAGUUGGGAGACCUGCGUGACAAGCUGGCCCUUGGCAAGCUGACUAACAUAUCAUUCCUGGUUGUCAACGAGCAGGAUGCUCAGUCCAGAGCCAUGUACUGGGAGCUGAAGAGGAGGACGGCAGAGGGCAUCCCUGUGUAUCAACAGAGCCCACUGCAAAACGACGUCUGGGACAUCUUGGAGGGAGACAAGGAUGAUUUCUUAGUUUAUGACAGAUGUGGAUAUCUCACCUUCCACAUUGCCCUGCCCUUCAGUUUCCUUCACUUCCCUUAUAUAGAAGCUGCCAUCAGGUCUACAUACCACAAAAAUAUAUGCAACUGCUCAUUAAAUGCAAACUUCUCCAUAUCAGAAGGCUUUGAAAACAACAAAAAUGAUACAAAUGAGCCUACCGAAGAGAGCAAGACUAGCAAUACAGAGCCUGUAACUGUUGAGCAUCAUCACCGUCAACAUGAGGAUCAUCAUCAUCAUCACCAACAUGUGCAUUCAGAUUCAGAUGGGCCAAUCCAGCAUUCACAUCAAGAACAUAGUCAUUAA